This 256-nucleotide ribosomal RNA is filed under the name uncultured bacterium. Its description in RNAcentral is "partial 16S ribosomal RNA". It matches the Rfam family "Archaeal small subunit ribosomal RNA", at positions 474 to 727 of the family's 1478-position model. The record is from RNAcentral.
UACCAGCACCCCGAGUGGUCGGGACGAUUAUUGGGCCUAAAGCAUCCGUAGCCGGCCUUACAAGUCCUCCGUUAAAUCCAGCUGCUUAACAGAUGGGCUGCGGAGGAUACUAUAAGACUAGGAGGCAGGAGAGGCAAGCGGUACUCAGUGGGUAGGGGUAAAAAUCCGUUGAUCCAUUGAAAAACCACCAGUGGCGAAGGCGGCUUGCCAGAAUGCGCUCGACGGUGAGGGAUGAAAGCUGGGGGGAGCAAACCGG